ACGAAUAUCGAUUACUCACAAAUAAAACAAAUUUGCUGAGGCGGCUCGACUAAGACGUACGGGCAGCAUAAUUAAGUCCUCAUAACUCUCAAGUGCAGGCAUCAAAAAAUCAAAACUGAGAAUGACUGGUGAUAUAUAUAUAUAUAUAUAUAUAUAGACACCUCAAUCAAUUAAGAAAGAAGCAAAUUAUAAUCAUGGCUUCUAUAGCUGAUCAGGAAGAAGAGACAAAUAAUUUCUCACAUGCAAUGGGACUUGCAAGUGCAAUAGUGCUACCUGCAGUUAUGCAAGCAGUGGUAGAGCUUGAUGUGUUUGAGAUCAUAAGCAAAGCCGGUCCUGGUGCUAAGCUUUCGGUUGCGGAGAUUGUGGCUCAAAUUCCCUUAAAAGAUAAUAAUCCUGAAGCUGCAGCCACGACGUUGGAUCGGGUGCUGAGGCUGCUUGUCAGCUACAACGCUCUUCAUUGCUCUUUUGUCGAUGGACAAAGGCUCUACUCUCUUGCUCCUGUUUCUAAACACUUUGUUCGCAACAAUCGAGACGGCGUGUCGUUGCGUCCCUACAUGGCCUUGUGUCUCGACAAGAUCUGCUUGGAUGGCUGGUACAUAGAACUGCUUCUUUUCUUUACCGUUUCAGUAAAUCGAUCAUUUUCAUUCUCAUGAUUUAAAAUCGAUUAAACUCUGUUAAAAAGAUAUUUAAUUUUCAGUUAGUUUACCAUUAAUGUUAUAAAUGACACAAAAAGUAGAAAGUUAAUGAUUUCUUUUUUUUUUUAAUGACGGAGGAUUCUCAAAUAUGAAAACAAAAAUGAUUGAUUUUAACGAACAACAACGUUUUUUUUUUCGUUUCUCGACAAAAAUUAGUUUUUCGAAUUUCAAGGUUAAUUGUGUGGUCUAAUUUUUGAAUCACCAGCACCAAACCAAGCUUCUGAAAUAGUUACUAACUGUGUUUGGAUUUUGAUAAAUUCAGGUUUGGAUUGAAAAAGCAAAUUCUUGAAGGAGGAAUUGCGUUUAAUAAAGCGCACGGAAUGCAAAUCUAUGAUUACUUAGGCGUCGACUCAAGGUUCAAUGAUGUUUUCAACAAUGGAAUGUUAAGCCACACUUCUAUUGUCAUGGAGAAGGUCCUAGAAUCAUACAAAGGCUUUGAGCAUGUUAAAAAGCUUGUGGAUGUUGGCGGUGGCUUGGGGAUCACUCUUAAUAUGAUAAUUUCAAAAUAUCCUCAUAUUAAGGGUAUUAAUUAUGACUUACCUUAUGUCAUUAAAGAUGCCCCAUCUUAUUCAGGUACUUUAUUUAUAAAAUUUGUAUAGUAUUUUUGUUAAUGAUUCAUCGAUGUUACACUAGCUAACAAAAGUUAGUUUAUUUAAAUUUCAGGGAUAAAACAUAUAGGUGGAGAUUUGUUCAAAAGUAUUCCUGAGGCAGAUACUAUUUUUAUGAAGGUUUAUAUUUUUUUAUAUCACUUGAAAUCAUCAUAAGGAAAAAUUAAAUAGAGAGAAUGACACUUUUCUCCCUAUUGUUUUUGAGUUAAGAUGUAUCCUAACCCUGUUGCUCACUUGGUAUUAGAACUUUGAUAGAAAAAUUCAAAGGGAUAAUAGGAUAUUAUGAAAACUAUUAAAAGAAAAAAAAUGGUGAAACUCAAAACUAUAUAUACAAGGAAAGUGUCAACAACUCUCUUUUUUUCUUCAAUGGUAAAAUGGGUGGGCAAAGCCCAAAUUAACUAAUUAUUGAUCCCAUAUCUCCCUUGAGUUCAAACUUGGGUGACAGUUAAAUAAAAUUGAUUGAAAACAAUUCGAUCAGGCACCUCGGGUGGAAAAUAUCAAUCUCUCUUCUUUAUGAAUGCUUUGUUCAAUCACAUAAAUUGAUCAUAGAUAUCCGGAUAGAACAAAUGAGAAUUAAUAUGAAUACAUGGAACUUUUGCAGUGGAUGCUUCAUAGUUUUGAUGAUGAACAAGCCUUGAAAGUGUUGAAGAAUUGUUAUAAAGCUCUUCCAUAUGGUGGGAAGCUGCUUAAUAUUAAUUCGACAAUUUCGGAAAUGCCUGGGAAUAAUGUAGCUUCAAGGGAAAUCUCUAUUUUGGAUACGGUUUUGUUAGUCCAACUUCCUCAUGGAAGAGAGCGGACCAAACAAGAGUACACUGAAUUGGCAGUCAAAGCUGGAUUUAAAGGUGUCAACUAUGAUUAUGGUGCGUGCAAUUUAUAUGUUAUGGAAUUCUUCAAAUAAAUUGCAUACUUAAUUUCAUUUUGGAAAGAUCUUCUCAACCCUUGGGGAGUUUCCAAUUUCCUAUUUGUGUUAAUUAUUUUCUCUUUUGCUUGGCCUUGGGGCUUGUCUUAUGUACUUUCUUUCAUCUUAUGAAAAUAAUACGUCUCUUAGAAAGAGAUUGAUGGCUGUAUUUGGUACUUCUUAUGUAAUCUUUUUCAGUUCAUACAUUCAGCAUGUGAUUUUUGGUUUAUUAUUGAGGCAAAAAAGAAGUAUUUUUAUCUUGCCUUACUAUUAUUAUUAUUUUUUUGUUCAUUUCAAAGUUGAAAAAAUCAGUAAUGUAUAACUUUUUUAUCAUUUAAAGUAAGAACAUUUGACUUUUGAAAGAGUAGUUAUAGAGAACUCAUUCUAUGCCAUCUCAACCUCACACAAGAGUAAUUAAAACUAGAGCUAAUGUUAAAGUAGUUCUAAAUUUUGAAUUCAUUACAAACUUAUCCUAAAAAUUUGCCUUAGUGGAGUUUAUGUGUGGUACUGGUGUUUAUUUCAUUUUUAUUUCUAAAAACAUAGUAAAUUAAGUGCACCACUAAGUGAACCAGAUGAAGACUGAAAAUUAUUGAAAAAUGGAUUGUGGAGAUUUGGUUUUUCAUCAAACAACUACUAAGAGCUAAUAUUGCUCGAUGGAAAAAGAAAAAAAAUCUGAAUAUUAUGAUUAUCUUUGAAAGGUACAUAGUGAAUAGAGAAAAAAAAAAGAAAAAAAUUUGAGUUCCUUUAUUGGACGAGUAUUUUGAUUAGGAGAAAUUUUAUAAUGUUGUAAUUAAAAUGAUGGUAUCAAUGCCGUGAUAAAUAUGAAUUUUGUAAAUUACGCAUAAGACUGGUAAAUGAAAAGUAAAAUAAGUAAAUUAAUAUAAGAGUGGUAAAUUGGCGUCUUAAAACUACAAACUAAACAAAUAUUUAUAAAAAUAACAUAAAACUUGUAAAUCAACAUUAAACUUUAAUUAAAAAAAUAAUUUAUUCAUUUAAUUUACAUAAAUGAUGAAAAAAUCACUCAUCAAUUGAAAAAAUAUAUAUUUAAAACAAUUGCAAUAAGUUUUAUUGUAUUGGUUUAACUAUAUAUUCUAUAUUCAUUCUUCGACAUAAAAAAAAAUGAAUCUUUUAAAAAAAAAUGAAUCUUUUUCUAUCUAUAGUAUUUGAUACUACACAUGUUAAUUAAGCAAAAAUUUUUUUUUUUUUACGUGAAUCAAGCAAAAAAAAAAAAGAUUUUCUUAUAUUACUAGAUGUACAUGAUAUAUCAAUAAAAUUGGAUCUAAUUUUUAGUGCUAUAUAUACUUCAUGUAAUUUUAAACUAUGUUUCUUAUUGUACUUAAAGAUUAUUUGGGUUUACGGUCAAGGAGGCUUAAAAGGAUAUAACAUCACCUUAUUUUACAAGCAGUGAGGUUUGAAAGUCUAACUUUCAGGAUAUGUUUAUCAUUCUUAUAUUACUAGAUGUACAUGACAUAUCAAUAAAAUUGGAUCUAAUUUUUAGUGUUAUACAUAUUUCAUGUAAUUUUAAACUAUGUUUCUUAUUGUACUUAAAGAUCAUUUGGGUUUACGGUCAAGGAAGCUUAAAAGCAUACAACAUCACCUUAUGUUACAAGCAGUGAGGUUUGAAAGUCUAACUUUCAGGAUAGAUUUAUCAUUAAUAAAAUUUCACAUAUGUCAUCACAUAUAUUAUACAACCUCAUAAUGUGACAAUUAGCUUAUAUAUUUACUAAUUUUGAUUCUAAAUUGAGUUUAGAAUCAAAAUUAUGAGCUAAUAGUCACAUUAUGAGUUUUUAUUUUAUAUUUGUAAGUUUUUAUUUUUUUAAUAACUCUUAUAUUAAGGUACUUGUUUUACCUUCUAUUUACAAGUAUUACAUUCUAUUUAUAUCAUUUAUAUUUUAUUUUAUGAUUAAUGUGGAUUUACCACUUCUAUGUUACAUGUAUAAGUUUUAUUUUAUUUAUCAAUAAUAUAAUGAUUUAUCACUUUUAGGUUAAUUUAUUUGUUUUACCUUCUAUUUACAAGUUUUAUGUCCCAUUUACUUUUUUAUGUUUUAUUUACACUUUAAUGUUAAUUUACAAGUUUUAUACUAUAUGAAUAAGUUUUUGUUUUAUUUACUAAUGAUACACCAAUUAACUACUCCUAUAUUAGUUUACUUAUUUUACCUUCUAUUUACAAAUCUUGUAUUCUAUUUAACACAAAUGUUGGCAUGAGAUUCCUGACAUAUUUCUAAAAUCAAAAUAAGAUGCAUAGAGGACAAUAAUUUUAUUUCAUAAUUAAAAUUUUUGUAAAGAAAGUUUGAAUAUGAGAGGGGUGAGAGAUGAGAAUAUUGACGAUGGUGUGUACUUUGGAUGGAAAAAUAGAUUGAAAAUAUAUAUAGACAUAUUAAAAGAAAAAAAUAUGAUCUAUACCUCAAGAGAAAUAAGAAAUUAUAAAUGCAGGUGGUCAAAUGUAUUUAUAAUUUAUAAUUUUUUAUAAAUAUGAUAAUCAUUAGACCAAUAUAAAAGUCUAGCAAAAAGUUUAAAUUUUUUUAAUAAAUGUAGAAGAGAUGGACGAAGAAACCAGCCAACAGUUCAGAAUUAACAAUUAAAGAUAUGAGGACUUGAUCGAAGAAAUGUGAAAAAUAAAAGGACACUGGGUUGGUUAGCGGGACCCUAAUUUAAUGGUAAAAAAUAAAAGGACACUGGGUUGCUAUCAAUUUCUACGGUGUGGUACGUUCAUAGCCGGGGAAGUAAUUGUAUUAGCGGGACCCUAACAUUAAUAAAAGGACACUGGGUUGUUUAGCGGGACCCUAAUAUUAAUGGUAAAAAAUAAAAGGAAACUGAGUUGGUAUCAAUUUCUACGGUGUAGGUUCAUAGCCGGGGAAGUAAUUAUAUUAGCGGGACCCUAAUAUUAAUGGAGACCUAAUAUUAAUGAUAAAAAAUAAAAGGACACUGGGUUACAAUCAAUUUCUACAGAGUGGGUUCAUAGCCGGAGAAGUAAUUGGGCACAAAUAUCAUGGUGAACACGGAUGAGAAAUAACCAUUUUAUCCCCGCAACUUUAUGUUUAUGGCCUCUAAAAAUUUUCACCUCUUUCACUUCUGGAACCCGCGCUUUCUGGCACAUGCACAAUACUUGGUUGCGACUUAUAGAGAGUUUUAGAAUUGCAACGACAUGGUGCUCUUUGAUAAUUCAAAAAUCCAAUAGAAUUUAUAGAGAAUUACAGAAUUGUGGUACGUGAUAAUUUGCUGAUGCAGUGAGGGGCCGAAAUUCUUGUACAUGUGAUUAAGUUAUAGAUGUAUAAUUAAGUAAUUAGCAAGCACUAAUUGGGGGUAUUUGUGUCCAUGAAAAUUUACAGUUGGUUGUUGACAUUAUACUGUGGGUGCGUAAGUGCAAUCACGAUCUGACCAUUCAAAUUAAAAAAUGGGGGUCCCACUAAUUAUAAAGUUUGUAAUUAUCACAUAUACAGAUAUGGUCGCAUAUGAAAAUCUUAUCAUAAAUUGAAUGGAUUCGAUGACUUAAUUGAAGUUAUGAACGGAUAUUUAAAUAAAAGAAAAUUUAUAAUAAAGAAAAGUAUUAAUUUGUUGUGAAUGUAACUUAUAUAAGCUGUAAGUUAGCGGGACUCUUCAAAUAAUUCUAAUAUUUUGAUUUUUAAUUCUUAUAUUUAAAAAAAUAUCUUUUGUAGUUAAAUAUAUUUUUUUUUUAUCCUUACUUUUACUUUACUUUUAUAAUAAUAGCCUUCUAAUUUUUUUUAACAUUAAUUAAGUUAUUUAUAAAAUUUUAAUUAUAAAAUUUACUAAUAAUUAUUUAUUAAUAAAUUAACUAAUAAAUAUCAGUAUGAAAGAACUAAUAUUUUUUUAACCCAUGCAAUAAUCUUGCAAAUAAUUUUUUUAUAAAUAAAAAUUAAUAUCAACUAACUUAAAGUGGUGUUUAAUAUCCUUACAAUAAUUAUAUUAAUAUUAAUUUAUAAAAAAUUAAUUUACUAAAUUAAUCUUAAAACUAAAUUAAUAACAUAAAAAUUUAUAAAACUAAUUAUUUUACUUUUCAUCGGCUGCAAUUUGUUGAAACUUGGGUGAAGACAAAUUGAGAUCUUAGAAAUCUCCAAUGAGAUAAUAAAAUAUAAUAUAUAUGUUAGGUCUUUGUUUUUUUUUUUUUUUUUUGGUUUAAACCACCCGAUUUCCGACGACCGCAUUGGGCCCCGACUAAUUCGGAUUCGGGGUGUAGUCACAGUUAAGGCUCUUUACCCCUCCCAAAUGGUGUGUUUAGUAGGGAUCAAACCCGAGAGCUCUUUCCACUUACCCAACCUGCGUCGCCAACUGAACCACAACCGUUUGAUUAGGUCUUUGUUCUUUAGAGAAUAGAUCCUAUUGAAAUUUGAACACGAAUAUCGAUUACUCACAAAUAAAAUAAAUUUGCUGAGGCGGCUCGACUAAGACGUACGGGCAGCAUAAUUAAGUCCUCAUAACUCUCAAGUGCAGGCAUCAAAAAAUCAAAACUGAGAAUGACUGGUGAUAUAUAUAUAUAUAUAUAUAGACACCUCAAGCAAUUAAGAAAGAAGCAAAUUAUAAUCAUGGCUUCUAUAGCUGAUCAGGAAGAAGAGACAAAUAAUUUCUCACAUGCAAUGGGACUUGCAAGUGCAAUAGUGCUACCUGCAGUUAUGCAAGCAGUGGUAGAGCUUGAUGUGUUUGAGAUCAUAAGCAAAGCCGGUCCUGGUGCUAAGCUUUCGGUUGCGGAGAUUGUGGCUCAAAUUCCCUUAAAAGAUAAUAAUCCUGAAGCUGCAGCCACGACGUUGGAUCGGGUGCUGAGGCUGCUUGUCAGCUACAACGCUCUUCAUUGCUCUUUUGUCGAUGGACAAAGGCUCUACUCUCUUGCUCCUGUUUCUAAACACUUUGUUCGCAACAAUCGAGACGGCGUGUCGUUGCGUCCCUACAUGGCCUUGUGUCUCGACAAGAUCUGCUUGGAUGGCUGGUACAUAGAACUGCUUCUUUUCUUUACCGUUUCAGUAAAUCGAUCAUUUUCAUUCUCAUGAUUUAAAAUCGAUUAAACUCUGUUAAAAAGAUAUUUAAUUUUCAGUUAAUUUACCUUUAAUGUUAUAAAUGACACAAAAAGUUGAAAGUUAAUAAUUUCUUUUUUUUUUAAUGACGGAGGAUUCUCAAAUAUGAAAACAAAAAUGAUUGAUUUUAACGAACAACAACGUUUUUUUUUUUUUUUUUUAUCGUUUCUCGACAAAAAUUAGUUUUUCGAAUUUCAAGGUUAAUUGUGUGGUCUAAUUUUUGAAUCACCAGCACCAAACCAAGCUUCUGAAAUAGUUACCAACUGUGUUUGGAUUUUGAAAAAUUCAGGUUUGGAUUGAAAAAGCAAAUUCUUGAAGGAGGAAUUGCGUUUAAUAAAGCGCACGGAAUGCAAAUCUAUGAUUACUUAGGCGUCGACUCAAGGUUCAAUGAUGUUUUCAACAAUGGAAUGUUAAGUCACACUUCUAUUGUCAUGGAGAAGGUCCUAGAAUCAUACAAAGGCUUUGAGCAUGUUAAAAAGCUUGUGGAUGUUGGCGGUGGCUUGGGGAUCACUCUUAAUAUGAUAAUUUCGAAAUACCCUCAUAUUAAGGGUAUUAAUUAUGACUUACCUUAUGUUAUUAAAGAUGCCCCAUCUUAUUCAGGUACUUUAUUUAUAAAAUCUGUAUAACAUAUUUGUUAAUGAUUCAUCGAUGCUACACUAGCUAACAAAAGUUAGUUUAUUUAAAUUUCAGGGAUAGAACAUAUCGGUGGAGAUUUGUUCGAAAGUAUUCCUGAGGCAGAUACUAUUUUUAUGAAGGUUUAUAUUUUCUUAUAUCACUUGAAAUCAUCAUAAGGAAAAAUUAAAUAGAGAGAAUGACAUUUUUCUCCCUAUUGUUUUUGAGUUAACACGUACCCUAACCAUGUUACUCACUUGGUAUUAGAACUUUGAUAGAAAAAUUCAAAGGGAUAAUAAGAUAUUAUGAAAACUAUUAAAAGAAAAAAAAAGGUAAAACUCAAAACUAUAUAUACAAGGAAAGUGUCAACAACUCUCUUUUUUUCUUCAAUGGUAAAAUGGGUGGGCAUAGCCCAAAUUAACUAAUUAUUGAUCCCAUAUCUCCCUUGAGUUCAAACUUGGGUGACAAUUAAAUAAAAUUGAUUGAAAACAAUUCGAUCAGGCACCUCGGGUGGAAAGUAUCAAUCUCUCUUCUUUAUGAAUGCUUUGUUCAAUCACAUAAAUUGAUCAUAGAUAUCCGGAAAAGAACAAAUGAGAAUUAAUAUGAAUACAUGGAACUUUUGCAGUGGAUGCUUCAUAGUUUUGAUGAUGAACAAGCCUUGAAAGUGUUGAAGAAUUGUUAUAAAGCUCUUCCAGAUGGUGGGAAGCUGCUUAAUAUUAAUUCGACAAUUUCGGAAAUGCCUGGGAAUAAUGUAGCUUCAAGGGAAAUCUCUAUUUUGGAUACGGUUUUGUUAGUCCAACUUCCUCAUGGAAGAGAGCGGACCAAACACGAGUACACUGAAUUGGCAGUCAAAGCUGGAUUUAAAGGUGUCAACUAUGAUUAUGGUGCGUGCAAUUUAUAUGUUAUGGAAUUCUUCAAAUAAAUUGCAUACUUAAUUUCAUUUUGGAAAGAUCUUCUCAACCCUUGGGGAGUUUCCAAUUUCCUAUUUGUGUUAAUUAUUUUCUCUUUUGCUUGGCCUUGGGGCUUGUCUUAUGUACUUUCUUUCAUCUUAUGAAAAUAAUACGUCUCUUAGAAAGAGAUUGAUGGCUGUAUGUGGUACUCCUUAUGUAAUCUUUUUCAGUUCAUACGUUCAGCAUGUGAUUUUUGGUUUAUUAUUGAGGCAAAAAAGAAGUAUUUUUAUCUUACCUUACUAUUAUUAUUAUUAUUUUUUGUUCAUUUCAAAGUUGAAAAAAUCAGUAAUGUAUAACUUUUUUAUCAUUUAAAGUAAGAACAUUUGACUUUUGAAAGAGUAGUUAUAGAGAACUCAUUAUAUGCCAUCUCAACCUCACACAAGAGUAAUUAAAACUAGAGCUAAUGUUAAAGUAGUUCUAAAUUUUGAAUUCAUUACAAACUUAUCCUAAAAAUUUGCCUUAGUGGAGUUUAUGUGUGGUACUGGUGUUUAUUUCAUUUUUAUUUCUAAAAAUAUAGUAAAUUAAGUGCACCACUAAGUGAACCAGAUGAAGACUGAAAAUUAUUAAAAAUGGAUUGUGGAGAUUUGGUUUUUCAUCAAACAACUACUAAGAGCUAAUAUUGCUCGAUGGAAAAAGAAAAAAGAAAACAAAUCUGAAUAUUAUGAUUAUCUUUGAAAGGUGCAUAGUGAAUAGAGAAAAAAAAAAAGAAAAAAUUUUGAGUUCCUUUAUUGGACGAGUAUUUUGAUUAGGAGAAAUUUUAUAAUGUUGUAAUUAAAAUGAUGGUAUUAAUGCCGUGAUAAAUAUGAAUUUUGUAAAUUACGCAUAAGACUAGUAAAUGAAAAGUAAAAUAAGUAAAUUAAUAUAAGAAUGGUAAAUUGGCGUCUUAAAACUACAAACUAAACAAAUGCUUAUAAAAAUAACAUAAAACUUGUAAAUCAACAUUAAACUUUAAUUAAAAAAAUAAUUUAUUCAUUUAAUUUACAUAAAUGAUGAAAAAAUCACUCAUCAAUUGAAAAAAAAAAACUAUUUAAAACAAUUGUAAUAAGUUUUUAUUGUAUUGGUUUAACUAUAUGUUCUAUAUUCAUUCUUGCACAUUAAAAAAACGAAUCUUUAAAAAAAAAUGAAUCUUUUUCUAUCUAUAGUAUUUGAUACUACACAUGUUAAUUAAGCAAAAAUUAUUUUUUUUUGACGUGAAUCAAGCAAAAAAAAAAAAAGAUUUUCUUAUAUGACUAGAUGUACAUGAUAUAUCAAUAAAAUUGGAUCUAAUUUUUAGUGUUAUAUAUACUUCAUGUAAUUUUAAACUAUGUUUCUUAUUGUACUUAAAGAUCAUUUGGGUUUACGGUCAAGGAGGCUUAAAAGGAUACAACAUCACCUUAUUUUACAAACAGUGAGGUUUGAAAGUCUAACUUUCAGGAUAUGUUUAUCAUUCUUAUAUUACUAGAUGUACAUGACAUAUCAAUAAAAUUGGAUCUAAUUUUUAGUGUUAUAUAUAUUUCAUGUAAUUUUAAACUAUGUUUCUUAUUGUACUUAAAGAUCAUUUGGGUUUACGGUCAAGGAGGCUUAAAAGCAUACAACAUCACCUUAUUUUACAAGCAGUGAGGUUUGAAUGUCUAACUUUCAGGAUAGGUUUAUCAUUAAUAAAAUUUCACAUAUGUCAUCACAUAUAUUAUACAACCUCAUAAUGUGACAAUUAGCUUAUAUAUUUACUAAUUUUGAUUCUAAAUUGAGUUUAGAAUCAAAAUUAUGAGCUAAUAGUCACAUUAUGAGUUUUUAUUUUAUAUUUGUAAGUUUUUAUUUUUACAUUAAGGUACUUGUUUUACCUUCUAUUUACAAGUAUUACAUUCUAUUUACAUCAUUUAUAUUUUAUUUUAUGAUUAAUGUUGAUUUACCACUUCUAUGUUACAUGUAUAAGUUUUUAUUUUGUUUAUCAAUAAUAUAAUGAUUUAUGACUUUUAUGUUAAUUUAUUUGUUUUACCUUCUAUUUACAAGUUUUAUGUCCCAUUUACUUUUAUUUACACUUUAAUGUUAAUUUACAAAUUUUAUAUUAUAUGUAUAAGUUUUUGUUUUAUUUACUAAUGAUACACCAAUUAACUACUCCUAUAUUAAUUUACUUAUUUUACCUUCUAUUUACAAAUCUUGUAUUCUAUUUAACACAAAUGUUGGCAUGAGAUUCCUGACAUAUUUCUAAAAUCAAAAUAAGAUGCAUAGAGGAUGAUCAUUUUAUUUCAUAAUUAAAAUUUUUGUAAAGAAAGUUUGAAUAUGAGAGGGGUGAGAGAUGAGAAUAUUGACGAUAGUGCGUACUUUGGAUGGAAAAAUAGAUUGAAAAUAUAUAUAGACAUAUUAAAAGAAAAAAAUCUGAUCUAUACCUCAAGAGAAAUAAGAAAUUAUAAAUGCAGGUGGUCAAAUGUAUUUAUAAUUUAUAAUUUUUUAUAAAUAUGAUAAUCAUUAGACCCAUAUAAAAGUAUAGCAAAAUGUUUAAAUUUUUUUUAAUAAAUGUAGAAGAGAUGGACGAAGAAAACAGCCACCAGUUCAGAAUUAACAAUCAAAGAUAUGAGGACUUGAUCGAAGAAAUGUGAAAAAUAAAAGGACACUGGGUUGGUUAGCGGGACCCUAAUUUAAUGGUAAAAAAUAAAAGGACACUGGGUUGCUAUCAAUUUCUACGGUGUGGUAGGUUCAUAGCAGGGGAAGUAAUUAUAUUAGCGGGACCCUAACAUUAAUAAAAGGACACUGGGUUGUUUAGCGGGACCCUAAUAUUAAUGGUAAAAAAUAAAAGGAAACUGAGUUGGUAUCAAUUUCUACGGUGUAGGUUCAUAGCCGGGGAAGUAAUUAUAUUAGCGGGACCCUAAUAUUAAUGGAGACCUAAUAUUAAUGAUAAAAAAUAAAAGGACACUGGGUUACAAUCAAUUUCUACAGAGUGGGUUCAUAGCCGGAGAAGUAAUUGGGCACAAAUAUCAUGGUGAACACGGAUGAGAAAUAACCAUUUUAUCCCCGCAACUUUAUGUUUAUGGCCUCUAAAAAUUUUCACCUCUUUCACUUCUGGACCCGCGCUUUCUGGCACAUGCACGAUACUUGGUUGCGACUUAUAGAGAGUUUUAGAAUUGCAACGACAUGGUGCUCUUUGAUAAUUCAAAAAUCCAAUAGAAUUUAUAGAGAAUUACAGAAUUGUGGUACGUGAUAAUUUGCUGAUGCAGUGAGGGGCCGAAAUUCUUGUACAUGUGAUUAAGUUAGAGAUGUAUAAUUAAGUAAUUAGCAAGCACUAAUGGGGGGUAUUUGUGUCCAUGAAAAUUUACGGUUGGUUGUUGACAUUAUACUGUGGGUGCGUAAGUGUAAUCACGAUCUGACCAUUCAAAUUAAAAAAUGGGGGUCCCACUAACUAUAAAGUUAAUAAUUAUCACAUAAACAGGGGGAAUUUUAGGUGCAACUGUGACACCGUGCCACAGUUGCACCUAGUCAUUGGAUGUCAGUAGACUCUAUUACUCCAACUGCAUCCAACGGUUAGAUGCAAUUGUGGCACGGUGCCACAGUUACACCGUAGCCUGAUCCCAUAUACAGAUAUGGUCGCAUAUGAAAAUCUUAUCAUAAAUUGAAAGGAUUCGAUGACUUAAUUGAAGUUAUGAACGGAUAUUUAAAUAAAAGAAAAUUUAUAAUAAAGAACAAGUAUUAAUUUGUUAUGAAUGUAACUUAUAUAAGCUGUAAGUUAGCGGGACUCUUCAAGUAAUUCUAAUAUUUUGAUUUUUAAUUUUUAUAUUUUAAAAAAUAUCUUCUGUAGUUAAAUAUAUUUUAUUUUUAUCCUUACUUUUACUUUACUUUUACAAUAAUAGCCUUCUAAAAAUUUUUUAACAUUAAUUAAGUUAUUUAUAAAAUUUUAAUUAUAAAAUUAACUAAUAAUUAUUUAUUAAUAAAUUAACUAAUAAAUAUCAGUACGAAAGAACUAAUAUUUUUUUAACCCAUGCAAUAAUCUUGCAAAUAAUUUUUUUAUAAAUAAAAAUUAAUAUCAACUAACUUAAAGUGGUUUUUAAUAUCCUUACAAUAAUUAUAUUAAUAUUUAUUUAUAAAAAAUUAAUUUGCCAAAUUAAUCUUAAAACUAAAUUAAUAACAUAAAAAUUUAUAAAACUAAUUAUUUUACUUUUCAUCGGCUGCAAUUUGUUGAAACUUGGGUGAAGACAAAUUGAGAUCUUAGAAAUCUCCAAUGAGAUAAUAAAAUAUAAUACAUAUGUUAGGUCUUUGUUCUUUAGGGAAUAGAUCCUAUUGAAAUUUGAACACGAAUAUCGAUUACUCACAAAUAAAACAAAUUUGCUGAGGCGGCUCGACUAAGACGUACGGGCAGCAUAAUUAAGUCCUCAUAACUCUCAAGUGCAGGCAUCAAAAAAUCAAAACUGAGAAUGACUGGUGAUAUAUAUAUAUAUAUAUAUAUAUAUAUAGACACCUCAAGCAAUUAAGAAAGAAGCAAAUUAUAAUCAUGGCUUCUAUAGCUGAUCAGGAAGAAGAGACAAAUAAUUUCUCACAUGCAAUGGGACUUGCAAGUGCAAUAGUGCUACCUGCAGUUAUGCAAGCAGUGGUAGAGCUUGAUGUGUUUGAGAUCAUAAGCAAAGCCGGUCCUGGUGCUAAGCUUUCGGUUGCGGAGAUUGUGGCUCAAAUUCCCUUAAAAGAUAAUAAUCCUGAAGCUGCAGCCACGACGUUGGAUCGGGUGCUGAGGCUGCUUGUCAGCUACAACGCUCUUCAUUGCUCUUUUGUCGAUGGACAAAGGCUCUACUCUCUUGCUCCUGUUUCUAAACACUUUGUUCGCAACAAUCGAGACGGCGUGUCGUUGCGUCCCUACAUGGCCUUGUGUCUCGACAAGAUCUGCUUGGAUGGCUGGUACAUAGAACUGCUUCUUUUCUUUACCGUUUCAGUAAAUCGAUCAUUUUCAUUCUCAUGAUUUAAAAUCGAUUAAACUCUGUUAAAAAGAUAUUUAAUUUUCAUUUAAUUUACCAUUAAUGUUAUAAAUGACACAAAAAGUUGAAAGUUAAUAAUUUCUUUUUUUUUAAUGACGGAGGAUUCUCAAAUAUGAAAACAAAAAUGAUUGAUUUUAACGAACAACAACGUUUUUUUUUUUUUUUUUUUAUCGUUUCUCGACAAAAAUUAGUUUUUCGAAUUUCAAGGUUAAUUGUGUGGUCUAAUUCUUGAAUCACCAGCACCAAACCAAGCUUCUGAAAUAGUUGCUAACUGUGUUUGGAUUUUGGAAAAUUCAGGUUUGGAUUGAAAAAGCAGAUUCUUGAAGGAGGAAUUGCGUUUAAUAAAGCGCACGGAAUGCAAAUCUAUGAUUACCUAGGCGUCGACUCAAGGUUCAAUGAUGUUUUCAAUAAUGGAAUGUUAAGCCACACUUCUAUUGUCAUGGAGAAGGUCCUAGAAUCAUACAAAGGCUUUGAGCAUGUUAAGAAGCUUGUUGAUGUUGGCGGCGGCUUAGGAACUACCCUGAACAUGAUAAUUUCCAAAUACCCUCAUAUUAAGGGUAUUAAUUAUGAUCUGCCUUAUGUCAUUAAAGAUGCCCCAUCUUAUCCUGGUAUGUUAUUUACAAAAUUUAUAUAGUAUGUUGGGUAAUGAUUUAUUGAUGCUACCCUAACUAAAAGAUGUGAAUUUAUUUAAAUUUCAGGCAUCGAACACGUGGGUGGAGAUUUAUUCGAAAAUGUUCCUGAGGCGGAUACCAUUUUCAUGAAGGUUUUUUCUCUCUAUCUAUAUAUAUAACUUUGAAAUGAUAAUUAUCAAGAGAAUGACAAUUUUCUCCUUACUGCUUUUGAGUUUUACAAUUUACUCAUUUGACGUCAAUUUUUUCAUUGAAAAACUCAAAAGGAUAACAAGAUAUUAUGAAAAUCGAAAAAAAAACAAUAAAACUCAAAAAUAGUAUACCGGAAAAAGUGUAAAUCUAUCUUGUCUAUGAAUUGAUAAUUGAUAUUCAAUUACAACUAAUUAAUGAGAAUUGAUAUGUAUAUGAAUUUUUUUUUGCAGUGGAUGCUUCACAAUUUUGAUGAUGAGCAAACUUUGAAAUUGUUGAAGAAUUGUUACAAAGCUCUUCCAGAUGGUGGGAAGCUGCUCAAUAUUAAUUCAACAAUUUCAGAAGUGCCUCAAAAUAGUGCGGCUUCAAGGGAAAUCUCUAUUUUGGAUACAAUUUUGUUGAUCCAAAUUCCUCAUGGAAGAGAGCGCACCAAACAAGAAUACAAUGAAUUGGCAAUUAAAGCUGGAUUUAAAGGUGUCAGCUACGAAUGUGGUGUAUGUAAUUUAUAUGUUAUGGAGUUCUUGAAAUAGAUUGCUUUUUUCUCUAUUCGGAAAGAUCUCCUUAGCUUUCUUGGGUUGUUUUCAAUUUCCGGUUUGUCUUGUUAUCUCUUUCCUUUGGAUUGAGGGCUUCUCUUAUGUAAUCUCUUUCGUUUUAUCAAUAAUAAAUCUCUUAUAGGGAGAUUGAUUCCCGUAUAAGGCAGCUCUUGCGUCAUCUCUUUCAUGAAUCAUGUUAUCAAUAAUACACCUUAUUGAAGAUGCCAAAAAUUCGAAUGUAGCAUUUUUUUUUUCCUGAAAAUUUGAAAAUAUUUGAAUUUAAUUAAUUUGAAACUCUGGUUAAAUCUAAAUAUAUAAACCUAAAUGAUAUUUCAUUUUUCUUUGUUAAAGUCUAAUCAUACUUAUUUUUAUUGGUAAAAACAUCCUAAAAACUAGUUUUUGACAUAUAUGUCUUUAAAUUAUUAUACACUUUUGUGUUUGUUGUAUUUACAUGUACGAAUAUUUAUAAUUAGAUAUUUGACAGGUACAAACAAAAAAUUAUAUUAAUAUGCUGUGUUAACUUUCAAAAGCCCAUAGUCCUUUUUGGACCAUAAAUAGAUAGAUCCACCCUUGUGUACAGGGCUGAUUUUUCCACAGAGCAGGCGUUUUGACACUAUUCUAAAUUCUUUAUAAAAUCUCUCUUUAAUUAAAUUACCUAAAUAACUAAGAAUAAAUUAAUUUCCUUUUUGUUUUGAAUGAAAAAUUAAUUAAACACUGAAAUAAACUAUUCUUUUAAUUUUUUACGCCCACCCAAUUUCAUAAUUUAUGCUUAUAUUUUAAAAUGCAAUUGAACAUAAUUUUUCUUAAGAAACUUUUAACAAUUAUGAAGAUAGAAAUCAUAUAACAAGAAAAAAAUAUUGUAAGAUUUUAAUAUUUGUAUGCAUUUAUAAUUAAAACAUAAAAGAAAUACUAUUUUUGGGUCAAAUUUAAUGACAAGAUGAUUGAUUUUAAUUUAUCAGUAUUUUAUAGUUAAAUUGGGGUAUCUUAAGCAAUAGGGUACAAAAGGGGUGCUGUAAGAGCUUUUUGCUUUAAGGAUUUUUUUAAAGUAUCUUAAAAGCUCCACUCUUUUUGAUAUAUCUAGAUUAGUGGUGAAUACUCUCUAGAUUAGUGGUGAAUACUUUAUAACAUGGUUUUUUUUUUUUUACUUUUAUAAUAAUACUUGACAUUUAAUAUUUAAAUCCUAAUUUGAAUCUUAACUAUAUGUCACUUAUCUAUUAAAUAAUGAAUAUAAUAUUACUUAUUACUCUAAUCGAUCAUCUAAUAAAUUAAUGUCACAUUUAAUGAGACUUAAAAUUUAGGAUCUAUAGCAUAAGUCACUAGAGUAGGAAAAAAAUUUGAGUUCCUUUACUAGACGAGUAUUUUGAUUAGGAAAAACUCUAUAAUGUUGUAAUUAAAAUGACGGUAUCAAUACCGUGAUAAAUACGAAUUUUUUAAAUCACGCAUAAGGCUAGUAAAUGAAAAGUAAAAUAAAUAAAUCAAUAUAAAGUGGUAAAUUGGCAUCUUAAAACUGCAAACUAAACAAAUACUUAUAAAAAUAACAUAAAACUUGUAAAUCAACAUUAAACUUUAAUUAAAAAAUAGUUUAUUCUCAUUCAAAAAAUAGUUUAUUCAUUUAAUUUAAAUAAAUGAUGAAAAAAUCACUCAUCAAUUGAAAAAAAAAAUUAAAAACAAUUGUAAUAAGUUUUAUUGAAUUGGUUUAACUAUAUAUUCUAUAUUCAUCCUAGGACAUUUACCACAAAAAAAAAAAAUUCUUUCUAUAGAUUUUGUUAGCCUAUAUGGCUAUAGAUAUUGAUUUUGAUGAUAACAAACCACAUAUAUUGAUUAAACAAAGAUUUAUGAAUUGUGCUUUUAUAAUAAGAAAAUGAUGUUAUGGAAUUAAAGUGUUUUGGACUAAAAUGAAAGUAUUUUAAAACCUUUGAUAUUGUUUUAAAAUUUCAGAUUUGGACAUAUUUGAAACUAUUUAAAUAUUUUGGGUCAUUUUAUAAUUUCACAUAGUUUGGGUGAAAUCAUAAUUUCAGAAAGUUUUGAGAUUGACAAAGUAUUAUUUAGAAACUCUGAAAUUGGACCUAUUUGAAAGCUUUCAUAACGUUUUGGGCCAUAAUAUAGUUUUAUAAAGUUUUGGGGUCAAACUAUAAAUUUAGAAAAUAUUUCACGGUAGCAGUUACUGUAGCAAGCGUCUAACCGGAUAUGGUAAACGGCAAUCCGAAUUUUAGGCAGUAAGCUUCUGGAGCAUAAACGACUAUCCGGAUUUCAAAAGCGGCUAUCCGGAUUUCAAAAGCGGCUAACUGGAUAUGAAAAGCGGCAUGCCGGAUAUUCUGAAAUUCAAAUUUUUGCUUUAACGGUAACAUGAAAGCGGCUAACCGGAUUCCAUAAACGGUAAGCCGGUUAUGACCAAAAAGUGCAUAACGACUAGUUUUUGAGCUCAAACUAUAUAAACUCAAAACCAAUUCAUUUUUGGUAAUCUUGGCAAGCAAAAAAAAGUGCACACAACAUAUAUUGAGUUUCAAUUUCGUAAAUCAUCAUUUAUUAAAUCAUCUUUGUUCUUCAAUUUGUAUAUCCACUCUUAAAAGAGAGUUUCAUUGUUGUAAUUUUCAUUUCUCAUCAAAUUGUGAGUGUACAAGUGUGAGAAACACUUGGGGUGAAGAGAUUGGAGAGAUAAUCUCUUGUUGUAAAGGUUCAUUGACACCUUGAAGUCAAUUGUAAAUGUUUGAAGCCUUGGAAAGGCUCGGAUAGUGAAAUCCUCAAGUCCGGUGUGCUUGGAGGCGUGGACGUAGGCGGGAAUUGCCGAACCACAUAAAAAUCCUUGAGUUUGCUUUCUCUUCCCUUGCUAAUUUUUUAUUGUGCUUUCAUUGAAUUUAUUAUUUUCGAAUUUAUUAAGGCAUUAGAUUGGAUUGUUGUGUGGUUUGCUUAGCUUAAUUUUUAAAAUCUCAAUUCACCCCCCCUCUUGGGUUGCCUAGUUAGUAUUUCAUUUGGUAUCAGAGCGAGGUGCUCUUGUGUAGACUUAACCAUCUAGAGUUAAAGAUCAAUGGCAACCCAAUAUGACUCAACAUUUAGGGAAUGACAGUCCACAAUUAGACCACCGUUCUUUGACAGAAAUGACUACUCGUAUUGGAAAACUAGGAUGAGAAUUUAUUUACAAGCACUAGAUUAUGAAAUUUGGGAAGUUGUUUGUGAUGGUCCUUUUAUGCCUUGGAUUAAAAAUGAAGUCGGGGAAGAUAUUUCAAAACCUUCACGGGAAUGGAAUGAAUUGGAAAAGAGAAAAGCUACUCUAAAUUCCAAAGUUAUGAAUGCCUUGUUUUGUGCACUAGAUAAGAAAGAAUUUCAUAGAGUAUCUAGUUGUGAGAGUGCUAAUGAAAUUUGGCACAAACUUGAAGUUGUUUAUGAAGGCACGAAUCAAGUGAAAGAGUCUAAAAUUUGUAGGUACACUCGGCAAUAUGAAUUGUUCCAAAUGGAACAAAAUGAGAGUGUGUAUUCUAUGUAUACUAGAUUUACGGACAUAGUGAACACUCUAGGAGCCCUAGGAAAGACUUUUUCAAAUAGCGAGAAAGUUAAGAAAAUUAUUAGGUCGCUACCUAAGGAAUGGAGACAAAAAAGGACUGUAAUUGAGGAAGUCAAAGAUUUAAAUAUCUUACCUAUUGAUGAUUUAGUUGGUUCUCUUAUUUCUUAUGAGGAAGACUUGGCAGCCGAAAAAGGCAAUGGGGAGAAGAAUAAAAGCAUUGCUCUCAAAGCCUCAAAAUAUAAGAGUGAUGAGGAAAGCGAGCUGGAUGAGGAGGAGAUGGAUAUGCUGGCUAGGAAGUUCAUAAAUUUUUUAAGAAAUCCAGUGAGCGAAGAAAAUUUAGAGACCUCAAGAACCGAAAGGAGAAGAAGGAAGUAAUCAAAUGUUAUGAGUGCAAGAAACCUGGCCAUAUAAGAUCAGAAUGCCCUCUUCUCAACAAGCUCAAAAAGAAAGCAAUGGUAGCCACAUGGGAUGAUAGCGAGGAGGAAACAAGUGAUGAUGAAGAGCAUCAAGAAAUGACAAAUCGAUCUCUUAUGGCAAUUGGAGAUGAAUCGGAUGAUGAACUUGAUGAGGUAAAUGAUCUUCCUACUUAUGAUGAAUUACAUGAUACUUUUAAAGAAUUGCAUGAUGAGUGGAUGAAAAUUGAUAAAAAGAAUACAUGUCUUAAAAAGAAAAUGGUAGAGCUCAAAAAUGAAAAUCAAUCUCUAUGUGCAAAGAUUACAUGCCUAGAAUUAGAGAAUAAAAUAUUGCAUGAUAGAGUUGUAUUAUCAAAUGAGAAACCUAGCACUUCACAUGAGCAUAUAGAAUAUCACAUAGAUGACUUGAAAAAAGAAAAUGAAAUGCUUAAGAAGAAGAGCAAUGAGUUAAAUGAGAUUGUUUUAAAAUUUACAAAUGGACAAAAGAUGUUGGAUAACUUGAUUAAUUCACAAAAAUGUGUGUUUGAUAAAGGAGGACUUGUUUAUAAGUCAAAUUUGAAACAAAAGUAUUAUAAGAACUACUUUGUGAAGAGUACAUCUAUUAACAAUCAAGUUGUAUGUCAUUAUUGUAAUCAAAACGGUCACAUAAAGUUUGGUUGUCCUAUCAAAAGAAAAGUAUAUUAUGGAGUAAAAUGUGUUUGGGUUCCAAAAGGAACCAUUGCUAACACUCAAGGACCCAAUAAUAUUUGGGUACCAAAGGACACAACGUGAAUGUUUUCUUUGUAGGUACCACAAUCAAGGAAUUGGGGAGAAAUUCCUUGAUGAAAGCUUGUGAGGAUAAUCACUUGAGUAUGAUCUAAGAGAAAAAGAUGAGGCAUGAUGAUUUAAUUGUUUUGGUAACAAUUCUUGCCAUAUUAAUUUUGUUGAAUGAAUCAUGAUAAAUGAAUUUGCGAAAGUAUGCUUGUAUGUUUACAUGAUGGAAUUAUCAUUGUGUAUAACAUUGAGUGAUUUAUCAUGAUGUCUUUAUUUGAUUUUGAUGAUUGUAUGGUCUUUGAUUUCAUCUUCUUAAUUGUCUAUCAUCAUUGUCCAUCUCUUAUAUAUGUGUGAACUCAUAUGCCAUUAAUUGUGUUAUAUCAUCAUUCAUUUAUAAAAUUGACAUCAUUGUUUGAUACGAUUUCAUAUGUUUGGUCUUGUAUACAUUUAUGUCUCAUGCAUGAAAUGGCUUAUUGAAAAAUUUUGAAUCUCAAAAUGAUUCAAAAAUUGAUCAAUUUUUAAGCUGAAAAUAAAUUGGUGUGUGUAAUACAAGUCUAAGAAUUUACUAAACUUAAAAAAUAUUCUCCAUAUUUUAACCGAUAAACCUCUUCUAAUCAAUCGAAAAACCAUUCUUCUUAUUGAUUAUUCUCUAAGUCAUAUUCCAGAUAACCGGAUUGGAAAACCAGUAAACCAUUUAAAGAGAAUUUGGUUUCUGGAAAGAACCGGUCAGCCGGUUAUGAAAUCCGGAAAACCGGAUCUAGUUUGAUGCUUGCUGGACACAACCGGAUAGCCGGUUAUGAGAUCCGACAAACCGGAUUUGCGUUGUUUACUUGCUGCCUCCAACCGGAUAACCGGAUUCGUGACCAUUCAUCACUGGACUUAACCGGAUUACCGGUUAUGUAAACCGGAAACCUGAAUUCACGUUGCACACUCACUGGACCACAACCGGCUAACCGGUUAGUGAAAUCCGGUAAGCCGGAUUCGGGCAUUCAUAUUUUGUUCAUCCUCUUCUCCUUCAUUCAAUCAAUUGGUUACUCUCUCACUAAAAACCACUUCCUCUCUCACGCAAUAUCUCUCUAAAAUCCAUCAAUCUCAUCCUUUUUCACUUCAAAUCCUUUAUACUUGUAUUUGAACACACCAACAUUUACUAUUUUAUUUUUCUUUUAUUUUGCAUUUGGAUUAUAUGGAUGUUUGCUAUGAUUUUGGAUUAUAUGUCUGUUUUGAAUAUGGAUUUGAUAUAGUUAUAUGUUAUGUUCUUUACUUAUGUUUUGGAUAAUUUUGAACUAAUGUGCUUGAUUUGAGGUUUUGAUGAUUGAUAGAGGGAGACAAAUAUGAUAUGUUUUUUGAUAAAAUCAUUUGGUUAAAAUUUUAAAUUGGUCAUAUAUUUAAGGGGAGCAUAUAAUAUGAUUUUGAAUAAUAUGCAUUUUGAACUUUUUUAUUGUCCAAAGGGGGAGACAAAGUAAUAUAUCAUUUCGAUGUUGUUAAAAAGAGGAGAAUAAUAUACACUUUAAGUAUUCUUUUAAUGAUUGAUAUUUGAUUAUGAUGAUGAUUUUGAGAUAAUGAUGAUUUGAUUACAUAGUUGUUUUAUAUGAUAAUUUUAUGUUAUGAGUUGUUGAUUUGGUAAUUAAUGGAAUAAUGGUUCAUGAUAUUUUGGUGUGAUGAUUUGUGUAUGGAGUUGGCUUGUAUCAUGAUUUAUAAUAAUUUGUGAGUAAUAUUACUAAACUUAUAUUUGAGGUAAUGCUUGUUGUUAGGGGGAGAAUGUGUUGAAAUUUCUACUCGGACAAACAUGAGUAAUAAAUUUGUUACUCUUAUUCUUUUCCUUUAAGCUUUCUUUUUUAUGAUGAAGGAGGAGAAUAAUAUAAAAAGUGUUAUAAAAAUAUGCAUGUAUCCAGGGGGAGUAUGCAUGUAUGCAGGGGGAGUCUUUUUAAAUAAUUUUUAAAUCAAAUUUUUAACCUUGCAUUGAUUAAGGGGGAGCUUUUCAUAACUAGAUUAAAUUUUUAUAAUGUGCUUUGUCAUCAUAAAAAAUGAGGAGAUUGUUAGCCUAUAUGGCUAUAGAUACUGAUUUUGAUGAUAACAAAUCACAUGUGUUGAUUAAACAAAGAUUUAUGAAUUGUGCUUUUAUAAUAAGAAAAAUGAUGUUAUGGAAUUAAAGUGUUUUGUACUAAAAUGAAAGUAUUUUAAAACCUUUGAUAUUGUUUUAAAAUUUUGGAUUUGGACCUAUUUGAAACUAUUUAAAUAUUUUAGGUCAUUCUAUAAUUUCACAUAGUUUGGGUGAAAUCAUAAUUUCAGAAAGUUUUGGGAUUGACAAAGUAUUAUUUAGAAACUCUGAAAUUGGACCUAUUUGAAAGUGUUCAUAACGUUUUGGGCCAUAAUAUAGUUUUAUAAAGUUUUAGGGUCAAACUGUACAUUUAAAAAAUAUUUCCACUCUUAAAGAGAGUUUCAUUGUUGUAGUUUUCAUUUCUCAUCAAAUUGUGAGUGUACAAGUGUGAGAAACACUUGGGGUGAAGAGAUUGGAGAGAUUAUCUCUUGUUGUAAAGGUUCAUUGACACCUUGAAGUCAAUUGUAAACGUUUGAAGCCUUGGAAAGGCUCGGAUAGUGAAAUCCUCAAGCCCGGUGUGCUUGGAGGCGUCGACGUAAGCGAGAAUUGCCGAACCACGUACAAAUCCUUGAGUUUGCUUUCUCUUCCCUUGCUCAUUUAUUAUUGUACUUUCAUUGAAUUUAUUGUUUUUAAAUUUAUUAAGACAUUAGAUUGAAUUGUUGUGUGAUUUGCUUAGCUUAAUUUUUAAAAUCUCAAUUCACCCCCUCUUGGGUUGCCUAGUUAGUAUGUCAGAUUUGAUACUACACAUGUUAAUUAAGCAAUUUUUUUUUUGACGUGAAUCAAGUAAAAACAAAAUAGAAAGAUAUUCUUAUAUUACUAGAUGUACAUGAUAUAUCAAUAAAAUUGGAUCUAAUUUUAGUUUUAUAUAUACUUCAUGUAAUUUUAAACUAUGCUUCUUAUUGUACUUAAAUAUCAUUUAGGAUUACUGUCAAGGAGGCUUAAAAGAAUACAAAAUCACCUUAUUUUACAAACAGUGGGGUUUGAAAGUCUAACUUUGAGGAUAGGUUUAUUAUUAAUAAAAUUUCAUACAUAUCAUCACAUAUAUUACACAAACUCAAAACUAUAAUUAUUUAAUUUAGAAUCAAAAUUAGUAAAUAUAUAAGCUAAUCGUCACAUUAUGAGUUUUUAUUUUAUAUUUGUAAGUUUUUUUUUAAAUAACUCUUACAUUAAGUUACUUGUUUUACAUUCUAUUUACAAGUAUUAUAUUCUAUUUAUAUCAUUUAUAUUUUAUUUUAUGCUUAAUGUUGAUUUACCACAUCUAUGUUACAUGUAUAAAUUUUUAUUUUGUUUAUCAAUAAUAUACUGAUUUACCAUUUUUAUGUUAAUUUAUUUGUUUUACCUUCCAUUUACAAGUUUUAUGUCUCAUUUACUUUUUUUAUGUUGUAUUUACACUUUAAUGUUAAUUUACAAGUUUUAUAUUAUAUGUAUAAGUUUUUGUUUUAUUUACUAAUGAUACACCAGUUUACUACUCCUAUAUUAGUUUACUUAUUUUACCUUCUAUUUACAAAUCUUGUAUUCUAUUAAUAUAAUUUACAUUUUAUUUUACACUUAAUGUUGAUUUAUAAGUUUUAUGAUACAUCUAUAAGUUUUUAUUUUGUUUACUAAUAAAACAUUAAUUUACCACUCCUAUGUUGAUUUACUUGUUUUAUCUUCCGUUUACAUGCUUAAUGCUUCACUUAUAUAAUUUAUGUUUUAUUUUAUACUUUAUGUUAAUUAACAAGUUUUAUAUUACAUUGUAAGUUUUUAUUUUAUUUACUAUUGAUACAUCAAUUUAUUACUCUUAUAUUAAUUUACAUGUUUUACCUUUCGUUUAGAAGUUCUAUAUUCCAUUUACAUAAUUUAUAUUUUCAUUUACACUUUAUGUUGAUUUACAAGCAUUAUGCUAUAUUUGUAAGUUGUUGUUUUGAUUAACUAAUUUACAAAUCAUAUUUUAGUUUUAUUGUUUUAUCUUACAUUAAGUCAUUAACAAGUCUUAUGUUUUAUUUAUAUAAUUUAUGUUUGGAUAAAUAUUCAAUUAAUCCCAAUAUUUUGACUUUAAUGCCCAUUUAGUUCCUAUAUUUUAAAAAGUACCUCAAAACACCCAUGUAGUUAAAUAAAUUUUAUUUUUACCCUUGCUUUUGCUUUACUUUUACAAUAAUAGCCUUCCAAAAAAAAUUUAACAUUAAUUAGGUUAUUUAUAAAAAUGUAAUUAUAAAAAUUAACUAAUAAUUAUUUAUUAACAAAUUAAUCAAUAAAUAUCAGUAUGACAGAACUAAUAUUUUUCUUAAACCCAUGCAGUAAUCUUGCAAAUAGUUUAUUUAUAAAUAAAAAUUAAUAUCAACUAACUUAAAGUGAUGUUUAAUAGCCUUACAACAAUUAUAUUAAUAUUUAUUUUAUAAAAAAAUAGUUUAGCAAAUUAAUCUUAAAAGUAAAUUAAUAACAUAAAAUUUUUUAAAAAUAAUUAUUUUAUUUUUCACCAGCUGCAGUUUGUUGAAACUUGGUGAAGACAAAUUGAGAGCUUAGAAAUCUCCAAUGAGAUAAUAAAAUAUAUAUGUUAGGUCUUCGUUCUUUAAAGAGUAGAUCCUAUUGAAAUUUGAAAAGGAAUAUCGAUUACUCACAAAUAAAACAAAUUUGCUGAGGCGGCUCGACUAAGACGUACGGGCAGCAUAACUAAGUCCUCAUAACUCUCAAGUACAGGCAUCAAAAAAUCAAAACUGAGCAUGAUGUGUGAUAUAUAUAAAUAUAUAUAUAUUCCUCUCAAGGACUAUAUAUAGAUUUAUAUAGUCCUCUUAACUCUCAAGGACAGGCAUGAAAAUAUCAAAACUGAGGAUGAUGGGUGAUAUAUAUAAAUAUAUAUAUAUUCCCUGCCUUGUAAGACAAGGUCCUCAAGCAAUUAAGCAAGAAGCAAAUUAAAAUCAUGGCUUCUAUAGCUGAUCGGGAAGAAGAGGCAAAUAAUUUCUCAUAUGCAAUGGAACUGGCAAGUGCAAUAGUGCUACCUGCAGUUAUGCAAGCAGUGGUAGAGCUUGAUGUGUUUGAGAUCAUAAGCAAAGCCGGUCCUGGUGCUAAGCUUUCGGUUUCGGAAAUUGUGGCUCAAAUUCCCUUAAAAGAUAAUAAUCCUGAAGCUGCAGCCAUGACGUUGGAUCGGGUGCUGAGGCUGCUUGUCAGCUACAAUGCUCUUCAUUGCUCUUUUGUUGAUGGACAAAGGCUCUACUCUCUUGCCCCUG
RNAcentral lists this long non-coding RNA (25038 nucleotides) under Citrus maxima (pomelo). RNAcentral's name for it is "long non-coding RNA (CMAX_LNC002502)". The record is from RNAcentral. Lineage: Eukaryota; Viridiplantae; Streptophyta; Magnoliopsida; Sapindales; Rutaceae.